GACGAACGCUGGCGGCGUGCUUAACACAUGCAAGUCGAACGGAAAGGCCCUGCUUUUGUGGGGUGCUCGAGUGGCGAACGGGUGAGUAACACGUGAGUAACCUGCCCUUGACUUUGGGAUAACUUCAGGAAACUUGGGCUAAUACCGGAUAGGAGCUCCUGCUGCAUGGUGGGGGUUGGAAAGUUUCGGCGGUUGGGGAUGGACUCGCGGCUUAUCAGCUUGUUGGUGGGGUAGUGGCUUACCAAGGCUUUGACGGGUAGCCGGCCUGAGAGGGUGACCGGCCACAUUGGGACUGAGAUACGGCCCAGACUCGUACGGGAGGCAGCAGUGGAGAAUAUUGCACAAUGGGCGGAAGCAUGAUGCAGCAACGCCGCGUGGGGGAUGACGGCCUUCGGGUUGUGAACCGCUUUCGCCUGUGACGAAGCGUGAGUGACGGUAAUGGGUAAAGAAGCACCGGCUAACUACGUG
Molecule: ribosomal RNA, 468 nt
Filed under: uncultured bacterium
Lineage: Bacteria
Description: partial 16S ribosomal RNA
Rfam family: Bacterial small subunit ribosomal RNA
Source: RNAcentral